This 223-nucleotide ribosomal RNA is filed under the name Vibrio parahaemolyticus. RNAcentral's name for it is "partial 16S ribosomal RNA". It matches the Rfam family "Bacterial small subunit ribosomal RNA", at positions 190 to 401 of the family's 1533-position model. Lineage: Bacteria; Pseudomonadati; Pseudomonadota; Gammaproteobacteria; Vibrionales; Vibrionaceae. The record is from RNAcentral.
AUGCCUACGGGCCAAAGAGGGGGACCUUCGGGCCUCUCGCGUCAGGAUAUGCCUAGGUGGGAUUAGCUAGUUGGUGAGGUAAGGGCUCACCAAGGCGACGAUCCCUAGCUGGUCUGAGAGGAUGAUCAGCCACACUGGAACUGAGACACGGUCCAGACUCCUACGGGAGGCAGCAGUGGGGAAUAUUGCACAAUGGGCGCAAGCCUGAUGCAGCCAUGCCGCG